CAGGGUGUAGCUCAGUAGGUAGAGUGCCGGACUUGGAAUCCGGAGGCCGUCGGUUCGAGACCGACCACCCUGA
This 73-nucleotide transfer RNA is filed under the name Roseobacter phage DSS3P8. It matches the Rfam family "tRNA". Rfam says of the family: Transfer RNA (tRNA) molecules are approximately 80 nucleotides in length. Lineage: Duplodnaviria; Heunggongvirae; Uroviricota; Caudoviricetes. The record is from Rfam by way of RNAcentral.